Bombyx mori (domestic silkworm) is the source of this 367-nucleotide long non-coding RNA. RefSeq lists it as uncharacterized. The record is from RefSeq and is a predicted model, not a curated record. Lineage: Eukaryota; Metazoa; Arthropoda; Insecta; Lepidoptera; Bombycidae. The transcript is spliced from 2 exons.
CCAAAAAUCUGAAUCGCGUUUUUAUUAGUUCAAUAUUAUACAUAAUAUAUCUAGGUUCCGAUGUUCCUAACAACAUAGUGGUUUAUGAUAAACAAGUCACCCGCUAUGUUAAGCCAAAAACCAUAAUAUCGUUUCCUAUGAACGCGUGAUGAAAGCAUGCAUAAUGUAAAUGAAACCAUAAAAUGUUCCAACAUAAACGACUAAAAAGGAGGUCCAAACGUGAUUUACAGUUUUUUUCUAUGGCAACACAAUAAAAACGGCUCCCGUUAAAUUUCGAAGUGGCAAUUAAACUAAUACAGAAUUAUGGCAACAUUGUUUAUAUGCCGCAAACCGCUUAUUAUGAAAUAAAUUUAAUACAGAGUUUGUA